This 182-nucleotide small RNA is filed under the name Arabidopsis thaliana (thale cress). RNAcentral's name for it is "ATSL163940". Lineage: Eukaryota; Viridiplantae; Streptophyta; Magnoliopsida; Brassicales; Brassicaceae. The record is from RNAcentral.
AAGCUAAGUAGGAAUACCCUAUCUUCUUUAUAAGAGUUUUCAUACAUGCAAAAUAUGGAAAACAAUGUCCGAACAUAUAUUUUCCCCCCGUAAUAUAGCAAAGAUCACGAAAAGGCCCACAAAAAGUACAUUUAGUUCAAAAUUUGGAGUAGAAAAAAAAACAAUAGAAAAGUUCCAAUUUC